RNAcentral lists this long non-coding RNA (575 nucleotides) under Coturnix japonica (Japanese quail). Its description in RNAcentral is "lncRNA (ENSCJPG00005014347.1)". The record is from RNAcentral. Lineage: Eukaryota; Metazoa; Chordata; Aves; Galliformes; Phasianidae.
CACCCACUGCAGAACCUUUGUGAUGAUACUUUAUCCCUAUAUCUGGAAUGUAUAGGAAUGUAGCCUGAAAAUACAUAUGUAUUUCUAUGUAUUUCUAUUUCAGUUGGGCUCAGAUUGCAUGUUAAAGUUGGAUUUAGAAGCAUAAAAAAAUUAUUUUACAAUAUCUGGGGCUUAUAAAUUUUAGUUUAAUAUUCAGAUACAUUUGCUGUUGAAUGUAAUUCAACUGUUUCCUUAUCUUUUUUCUUACUGUUAAAUGUUUAAUUAUUUCAGAUCUGUUAUCUUGCUGGUUCAGACUUCCCAACUCUCAAAUCAUCACUGAAGAAACCUUGCUGCAAAGCUUAACUCCAUCUAGUCCUCAUUUCCUGCCUCCACACCAUUUUCUGCCAAUGUUCAUGUUAUAUGGCAGGAAUGUCAGAAGAGGAUUCCUCCCCUACCUUUAUUUCUCCUGCACACGUCCUCAGGUAAAUGAAUUCUUCCAAAAAUGUAUACCUUGAGAAGGACAGUCAGAUUCAGGCUGACCUGGUGCUAAGGGUGGAGACUCUGUUAUGUUCCCACAUAGACAAAUUCACUAUUGA